RNAcentral lists this ribosomal RNA (635 nucleotides) under uncultured marine eukaryote. RNAcentral describes it as "SSU rRNA". It matches the Rfam family "Eukaryotic small subunit ribosomal RNA", at positions 616 to 1258 of the family's 1831-position model. The record is from RNAcentral.
CGGUUAGAACGCUCGUAGUCGAAUGUUUGUUCAAGCCUAGCGGUCCUCCCUAGUGGUGCGUACUCAGUUCGGUCUGAGCACCUCUCUGAUACUCGCGUUUACAGUUCAUUCUGUGGCGCGUUGUUCAGAACUUUUACUUUGAGGAAAUGAGAGUGCUUCAAGCAAAUGUGUGUUAUGAAUACGUUAGCAUGGAAUAAUCGCAUGGGACAUCCUUCUGAAUUUGUUGGUUUUUGGGUAGAUGUAAUGAAGGUGGGGAUAGUUGGGGGCAUUCGUAUUUAACUGUUAGAGGUGAAAUUCUUGGAUUUUUUAAAGAUGGACUACUGCGAAAGCAUCUGCCAAAGAUGUUUUUGUCGAUCAAGAACGAAAGUUAGGGGAUCGAAGACGAUCAGAUACCGUCCUAGUCUUAACCUUAAACUAUGCCCACUAGGGAUUGGGGUCAUCAGACUCUUGAUGUCUUCAGCAUCUUCAGAGAAAUCAAAGUUUUUGGGUUCCGGGGGGAGUAUGGUCACAAGGCUGAAACUUAAAGGAAUUGACGGAAGGGCACCACCAGGAGUGGAGCCUGCGGCUUAAUUUGACUCAACACGGGAUAACUCACCAGGUCCAGACUUAGAAAGGAUUGACAGACUGAUAGCUCU